RNAcentral lists this transfer RNA (118 nucleotides) under Candidatus Freyarchaeota archaeon. Its description in RNAcentral is "tRNA-Pro". It matches the Rfam family "tRNA". From Rfam's summary of the family: Transfer RNA (tRNA) molecules are approximately 80 nucleotides in length. Their secondary structure includes four short double-helical elements and three loops (D, anti-codon, and T loops). Further hydrogen bonds mediate the characteristic L-shaped molecular structure. tRNAs have two regions of fundamental functional importance: the anti-codon, which is responsible for specific mRNA codon recognition, and the 3' end, to which the tRNAs corresponding amino acid is attached (by aminoacyl-tRNA synthetases). tRNAs cope with the degeneracy of the genetic code in two manners: having more than one tRNA (with a specific anti-codon) for a particular amino acid; and 'wobble' base-pairing, i.e. permitting non-standard base-pairing at the 3rd anti-codon position. Lineage: Archaea; Promethearchaeati; Candidatus Freyarchaeota. The record is from RNAcentral.
GGGCGGGUAGUCUAGAGCGGAAAGCGGGAAACUUGGUAUGAUACCGGGUUUGGGACCCGGUGACCUUCCGUGUUGUGCGUGGGGCCGGUAGUCCUGGGUUCAAAUCCCAGCCCGCCCA